CCUACGGGGUGCAGCAGUAGGGAAUUUUCGGCAAUGGGGGGAACCCUGACCGAGCAACGCCGCGUGAACGAAGAAGUUAUUCGUAAUGUAAAGUUCUUUUAACAGGGAAGAAAGAGAAAUUUGACGGUACCUGAAGAAUAAGCUCCGGCUAACUACGUGCCAGCAGCCGCGGUAAUACGUGGGAGCGAGCGUUUAUCGGAAUUAUUGGGCGGAAAGGGUGGGUAGAUGGCAUAGUAAGGCUGUUGUAAAAAUGCUGGGUUCAACCCAGUAGGGCAAAAGAUACCGCAAAGGUAGAGUAUGACAGAGGCAAGUGGAACUACAUGUGUAGCGGUAAAAUGCGUAAAUAUAUGUAAGAACACCAGUGGCGAAGGCGGCUUGCUGGGUCGAUACUGACAUUGAGGCACGAAAGCGUGGGGAGCAAACAGGAUUAGAUACCCCUGUAGUC
Molecule: ribosomal RNA, 445 nt
Filed under: uncultured bacterium
Lineage: Bacteria
Description: partial 16S ribosomal RNA
Rfam family: Bacterial small subunit ribosomal RNA
Source: RNAcentral